CAUGCAAGUCGAGGGGCAGCGGGAUUGAAGCUUGCUUCAAUUGCCGGCGACCGGCGCACGGGUGAGUAACGCGUAUCCAACCUUCCGCUUACUCGGGGAUAGCCUUUCGAAAGAAAGAUUAAUACCCGAUGGUAUCUUAAGCACGCAUGAGAUUAAGAUUAAAGAUUUAUCGGUAAGCGAUGGGGAUGCGUUCCAUUAGGCAGUUGGCGGGGUAACGGCCCACCAAACCUACGAUGGAUAGGGGUUCUGAGAGGAAGGUCCCCCACAUUGGAACUGAGACACGGUCCAAACUCCUACGGGAGGCAGCAGUGAGGAAUAUUGGUCAAUGGGCGAGAGCCUGAACCAGCCAAGUAGCGUGAAGGAUGACGGCCCUACGGGUUGUAAACUUCUUUUGUGCGGGAAUAAAGGAACCUACGUGUAGGUUUUUGCAUGUACCGUAACGAAUAAGCAUCGGCUAACUCCGUGCCAGCAGCCGCGGUAAUACGGAGGAUGCGAGCGUUAUCCGGAUUUAUUGGGUUUAAAGGGAGCGUAGACGGGUUUUUAAGUCAGCUGUGAAAGUUUGGGGCUCAACCUUAAAAUUGCAGUUGAAACUGGAGACCUUGAGUACGGUUGAGGCAGGCGGAAUUCGUGGUGUAGCGGUGAAAUGCUUAGAUAUCACGAAGAACCCC
RNAcentral lists this ribosomal RNA (668 nucleotides) under uncultured bacterium. RNAcentral describes it as "bacterial SSU rRNA". It matches the Rfam family "Bacterial small subunit ribosomal RNA", at positions 54 to 710 of the family's 1533-position model. The record is from RNAcentral.